CGAACGGGUGAGUAACGCGUGAGGAACCUGCCUCAAAGAGGGGGACAACAGUUGGAAACGACUGCUAAUACCGCAUAAGCCCACGGUGCCGCAUGGCACAGAGGGAAAAGGAGCAAUCCGCUUUGAGAUGGCCUCGCGUCCGAUUAGCUAGUUGGUGAGGUAACGGCCCACCAAGGCAACGAUCGGUAGCCGGACUGAGAGGUUGAACGGCCGCAUUGGGACUGAGACACGGCCCAGACUCCUACGGGAGGCAGCAUG
Molecule: ribosomal RNA, 258 nt
Filed under: uncultured bacterium
Lineage: Bacteria
Description: partial 16S ribosomal RNA
Rfam family: Bacterial small subunit ribosomal RNA
Source: RNAcentral